GUUCUCAUAGUGUAGGGAUAGCACAUGAGAUUUUCAAUUUCAUAGGGCAUUGUUGAAUAAAGUUAGUGCUGAGAAUA
RNAcentral lists this transfer RNA (77 nucleotides) under Dosidicus gigas (jumbo flying squid). RNAcentral's name for it is "tRNA-Glu". Lineage: Eukaryota; Metazoa; Mollusca; Cephalopoda; Oegopsida; Ommastrephidae. The record is from RNAcentral.